UGGAGGGAACAACCCCCCCUUGAAUGAAGAAGGUUUUCGGCUUGAAAAGCUCCGUUUUUAAAGAAGAACGUGGGUAAGAGUAACUGUUUACCCAGUGACGGUAUUUAACCAGAAAGCCACGGCUAACUACGUGCCAGCAGCCGCGGUAAUACGUAGGUGGCAAGCGUUAUCCGGAUUUAUUGGGCGUAAAGCGAGCGCAGGCGGUCUUUUAAGUCUAAUGUGAAAGCCUUCGGCUCAACCGAAGAAGUGCAUUGGAAACUGGGAGACUUGAGUGCAGAAGAGGACAGUGGAACUCCAUGUGUAGCGGUGAAAUGCGUAGAUAUAUGGAAGAACACCAGUGGCGAAGGCGGCUGUCUGGUCUGCAACUGACGCUGAGGCUCGAAAGCAUGGGUAGCGAACAGGAUUAGAUACCCUGGUAGUCCAUGCCGUAAACGAUGAUUACUAAGUGUUGGAGGGUUUCCGCCCUUCAGUGCUGCAGCUAACGCAUUAAGUAAUCCGCCUGGGGAGUACGACCGCAAGGUUGAAACUCAAAAGAAUUGACGGGGGCCCGCACAAGCGGUGGAGCAUGUGGUUUAAUUCGAAGCUACGCGAAGAACCUUACCAGGUCUUGACAUCUUCUGACAGUCUAAGAGAUUAGAGGUUCCCUUCGGGGACAGAAUGACAGGUGGUGCAUGGUUGUCGUCAGCUCGUGUCGUGAGAUGUUGGGUUAAGUCCCGCAACGAGCGCAACCCUUAUUACUAGUUGCCAGCAUUAAGUUGGGCACUCUAGUGAGACUGCCGGUGACAAACCGGAGGAAGGUGGGGACGACGUCAAAUCAUCAUGCCCCUUAUGACCUGGGCUACACACGUGCUACAAUGGAUGGUACAACGAGUCGCGAGACCGCGAGGUUAAGCUAAUCUCUUAAAACCAUUCUCAGUUCGGACUGUAGGCUGCAACUCGCCUACACGAAGUCGGAAUCGCUAGUAAUCGCGGAUCAGCAUGCCGCGGUGAAUACGUUCCCGGGCCUUGUACACACCGCCCGUCACACCAUGAGAGUUUGUAACACCCAAAGCCGGUGGGGUAACCUUUAGGAGCUAGCCGUCUAAGUGACAGAGAUUGGU
This 1100-nucleotide ribosomal RNA is filed under the name Pediococcus pentosaceus. Its description in RNAcentral is "bacterial SSU rRNA". It matches the Rfam family "Bacterial small subunit ribosomal RNA", at positions 383 to 1478 of the family's 1533-position model. Lineage: Bacteria; Bacillati; Bacillota; Bacilli; Lactobacillales; Lactobacillaceae. The record is from RNAcentral.